This is a non-coding RNA of Arvicanthis niloticus (Nile rat), 132 nucleotides long. The record is from RefSeq and is a predicted model, not a curated record. NCBI's taxonomy places the organism in Eukaryota, Metazoa, Chordata, Mammalia, Rodentia, Muridae.
GGUUACAAAGUUACAGCGCCUUGGAGGUCCCGUGGAUCUGUGUCUUGCUUCAACAGUGUUUGGACAGAACAGACCCGGGGACUCCUGCUUUGUUAGCUUCCAGCCGCCUUUCAGUCUCUCCAGAUCAGAAGA